This 458-nucleotide ribosomal RNA is filed under the name uncultured fungus. RNAcentral describes it as "eukaryotic LSU rRNA". The stretch from base 54 to 205 matches the Rfam family "5.8S ribosomal RNA". The record is from RNAcentral. Lineage: Eukaryota; Fungi.
AACAUAAAUGUGUGUAGUGUUAGACAGUGUGUGAUAUUUAAUUAAUUAUUGACAACUUUUAACAAUGGAUCUCUAGGCUCUUGCAUCGAUGAAGAACGCAGCAAAGUGCGAAAUGUGAUGCGAAUUGCACGAAUCUGUGAGUCAUCUAAUCUUUGAACGCGAAUGGCACUGUUACGCAAGUAGCAGUAUGUCUGUUUGAGAAUCGCAAACACGAUCAACUCUAGUUAGAGUUGGCAUUGACCUCAUGCGCUGUAAAAGAGCAUUUGGUUUGAAUGGAUCAAGUUGAUGGGCUCCCCGGCGAUGCUCAAUGUGUGCUAGCGAGACAGUCGUCCCGAUCUCACAUUAGUGGUAUUGUUGCAGAGCUCUAAUCACAGCUUGCUAACUAACAUUAUAUCUAUUACGAUCUCAAAUCAGGCAAGAUUACCCGCUGAACUUAAGCAUAUCAAUAAGCGGAGGAA